Molecule: small RNA, 37 nt
Filed under: Arabidopsis thaliana (thale cress)
Lineage: Eukaryota; Viridiplantae; Streptophyta; Magnoliopsida; Brassicales; Brassicaceae
Description: ATSL200720
Source: RNAcentral
CUUUGAUGGUGUGGCCGAAGUUCUUAUGAGUUUUUUU